This 322-nucleotide ribosomal RNA is filed under the name Vreelandella aquamarina. RNAcentral describes it as "bacterial SSU rRNA". It matches the Rfam family "Bacterial small subunit ribosomal RNA", at positions 87 to 418 of the family's 1533-position model. The record is from RNAcentral. Lineage: Bacteria; Pseudomonadati; Pseudomonadota; Gammaproteobacteria; Oceanospirillales; Halomonadaceae.
GCUGACGAGCGGCGGACGGGUGAGUAAUGCUUGGGAACAUGCCUUGAGGUGGGGGACAACAGUUGGAAACGACUGCUAAUACCGCAUAAUGUCUACGGACCAAAGGGGGCUUCGGCUCUCGCCUUUAGAUUGGCCCAAGUGGGAUUAGCUAGUUGGUGAGGUAAUGGCUCACCAAGGCAACGAUCCCUAGCUGGUUUGAGAGGAUGAUCAGCCACACUGGAACUGAGACACGGUCCAGACUCCUACGGGAGGCAGCAGUGGGGAAUAUUGCACAAUGGGCGAAAGCCUGAUGCAGCCAUGCCGCGUGUGUGAAGAAGGCCUU